CCCAGUUAAUGGUAGGGCCCUGGGGAGAGUUGUUGAAUCGAGAGACCUAAGGGUGCAGCUGCGUAAUUCCUUGAAACUGGCAUCACAGGUCGACAGAAUGGUUAGGAAGGAGUUUGAGUGCAGACCCUCCGGUUUGUGUUCACUGGUGAAUAAACACGGAGCUGACUACCUCCUGAGCAAAGAGAGCUGCAGGUUCGAGCUGGUGGGAAUCUAAAAAAAAAGUGAAUAAUACAGAAACUUCAACUGUCACCACAUUCCAGUGCCAUUGUGAACAAUUUAACAAGAAUAAAGAGAUAUAAUGGAAAGGGAGUCUAUCCUUGUUCCACUGCUUACGCCCUGAGCCCGCUCUCCAAUGUAGGGAUUGCCAUCUUUUGAUCACUGGCCUACCUCGCCAGGGUGUGUCCUGGACCCACACUCACCCAGGAGACCACCGGCACCAGGCCCUCUACAACCAGGAGACCCCAGCUCCACGCCCAUCACAACCAGGAGCCUCCCAGCCCCAGGCCCACUACAACCAGGAGACCCCCAGCUCCAGGCCCUCUACAACCACGAGCCUCCCAGCUCCAGGCCCUCUACAACCAGGAGACCCCAACUCCACGCCCACUACAACCACGAGCCUCCCAGCCCCAGGCCCUCUACAACCAGGAGACCCCCAGCACCAGGCCCACUACAACUAGGAGACCCCCAGCCCCAGGCCCACCACAACCACGAGCCUCCCAGCUUCAGGCCCUCUACAACCACGAGCCUCCCAGCUCCAGGCCCACUACAACCAGGAGACC
Molecule: non-coding RNA, 779 nt
Organism: Chiloscyllium plagiosum (whitespotted bambooshark)
Lineage: Eukaryota; Metazoa; Chordata; Chondrichthyes; Orectolobiformes; Hemiscylliidae
Source: RefSeq, a predicted model, not a curated record